GAGUUGGGAGAACUUCAAGGCUGGUGAGCACAAGGAGCCAGGUACAGAGAUGAGAGCGUCCCCUUCCAUUCCAGGAAGAUGGCAUGCUCCAACUCCAUGGGGACAGAAGCUCCUGCUCUUGGGACCUUUGUGAGCUCAUCCUCUGUGUCCCUUCAUCUGGCUGUUCAUCUAUAUCCUCUGUAUAGGAAAAGUAACUUUCUGAGCAUCAUCUUCCUCCUUCCUGGCUCGACUCUUCUUUGGUGGGCAGGUGACCUCAGGCCUCACUGGGUGCAAAUGCACAAAGCCAGUUCUGGCUGUUGAGGAGCAGGAGUCAAUGACGGAGCCUGUGUGGCCUCAGCCUCUUUUCUGCUGUGCUCUGACCAUGGGAAUCUCACUGAAGGCAAGAAAAGACCCUUUGAACUUCCCUUUAGAAGAAUCUCUUAUUCUUUUGAGGUUUUCAUAGUGAAGAGUUGGACGAGCCUGUGGUUUCAAAGCCUUGGUGGUAGCCUCCCACAUCUGUCACUUUAUGAGUUGCCCCAGAAGGCUAGAAGGCACCUUCAGAUCCAUCAUUUUUCUUCACAAAUACAUUUGUUCCCUUUC
Canis lupus familiaris (dog) is the source of this 579-nucleotide long non-coding RNA. RefSeq lists it as uncharacterized. Lineage: Eukaryota; Metazoa; Chordata; Mammalia; Carnivora; Canidae. The record is from RefSeq and is a predicted model, not a curated record. The transcript has 3 exons.